CCUACGGGCGGCAGCAGUCGAGAAUCAUUCACAAUGGGGGAAACCCUGAUGGUGCGACGCCGCGUGGGGGAAUGAAGGUCUUCGGAUUGUAAACCCCUGUCAUGUGGGAGCAAAUUAAAAAGAUAGUACCACAAGAGGAAGAGACGGCUAACUCUGUGCCAGCAGCCGCGGUAAUACAGAGGUCUCAAGCGUUGUUCGGAAUCACUGGGCGUAAAGGGUGCGUAGGCUGUUUCGUAAGUCGUGUGUGAAAGGCGCGGGCUCAACCCGCGGACGGCACAUGAUACUGCGAGACUAGAGUAAUGGAGGGGGAACCGGAAUUCGAGGGGAAGCAGUGAAAUGCGUAGAUAUGGAGAGGAACACUCGUGGCGAAGGCGGGUGCCUGGACAUUAACUGACGCUGAGGCACGAAGGCCAGGGGAGCGAAAGGGAUUAGAUACCCCAGUAGUC
Molecule: ribosomal RNA, 446 nt
Filed under: uncultured bacterium
Lineage: Bacteria
Description: partial 16S ribosomal RNA
Rfam family: Bacterial small subunit ribosomal RNA
Source: RNAcentral